This 484-nucleotide ribosomal RNA is filed under the name uncultured bacterium. Its description in RNAcentral is "partial 16S ribosomal RNA". It matches the Rfam family "Bacterial small subunit ribosomal RNA", at positions 29 to 507 of the family's 1533-position model. The record is from RNAcentral.
AGUGAACGCUGGCGGUAGGCCUAACACAUGCAAGUCGAGCGGCAGCACAGUAAUAGCUUGUUCUUACGGCUGGCGAGUGGCGGACGGGGGAGGAAUACAUGGGUAUCUACUUGGGCGAGGGUGCGAACACGGGGAAUCUUACGCUAAUAGCGCAUACGACCUACGGGUGGAAUCUGGGGACCUUCGGACCUUGGACGAUCCAAUGUCGGAUUAGCUAGUUGGCGGGGUAAAGGCCUACCAAGGCGACGAUCCGUAACUGGUCUGAGAGGAUGAUCAGUCACACUGGAACUGAGACACGGUCCAGACUCCUACGGGAGGCAGCAGUGGGGAAUAUUGGACAAUGGGCGCAAGCCUGAUCCAGCCAUACCGCGUGGGUGAAGAAGGUCUUCGGGUUGUAAAGCACUUUUGUUGGGGAAGAAAAGCAGCAAGUUAAUACCUCGCUGUUCUGACGGUACCAAAAGAAUAAGCACCGGCUAACUUCGUG